Molecule: ribosomal RNA, 323 nt
Filed under: uncultured Chloroflexota bacterium
Lineage: Bacteria; Bacillati; Chloroflexota
Description: bacterial SSU rRNA
Rfam family: Bacterial small subunit ribosomal RNA
Source: RNAcentral
GAUAAACGCUGGCGGCGUGCAUAAACAUGUAAGUCGAACGGGUGGAAGCCGCAAGGCUGAAGCCAGUGGCGGACGGCUGAGUAACGCGUAGGUGACUUGCCCAAAAGUGGGGAACAACGAUUCGAAAGAAUCGCUAAUACCGCAUGUGGUUGUGCGUAUAAUCGCGUGCAACUAAAGCCCGCAAGGGCGCUUAUGGAGAGGCCUGCGUCCGAUUAGCUAGUUGGUGGGGUAAUGGCCUACCAAGGCUCCGAUCGGUAGCUGAUCUGAGAGGAUGAUCAGCCAGACUGGGACUGAGACACGGCCCAGACUCCUACGGGUGGCUG